Molecule: ribosomal RNA, 722 nt
Filed under: uncultured bacterium
Lineage: Bacteria
Description: bacterial SSU rRNA
Rfam family: Bacterial small subunit ribosomal RNA
Source: RNAcentral
CGAACGGGUGAGUAACACGUAAAUAAUCUACCUCUAAGUUCGGGAUAACCUUGCCAACGCGGGGCUAAUACCGGAUGUGGUCACGAAAACGCAUGUUUUCGUGAUUAAAGGUGCAAGUCGCUUAGAGAUGAGUUUGCGGCCCAUUAUGCUUGUUGGUAGGGUAACGGCCUACCAAGGCUGCGAUGGGUAGCCGGCCUGAGAGGGUGAACGGCCACAUUGGGACUGAGAUACGGCCCAGACUCCUACGGGAGGCAGCAGUAGGGAAUUUUUGCGCAAUGGGCGAAAGCCCUGACGCAGCAACCGCCCGCGUGAAGGAUGAAGGUUUUUUCGGAAUUGUAAACUUUCCUGUUUAAGUGGGAAGAAAAAGCCCAGCAAUGGUAUUGACGGUACCCACUUUGAGUAAGCACCCGGCUAACUACGUGCCCAGCAGCCCGCGGUAAUACGUAGGGUGCAAAGCGUUUGUUCGGGAAUCACUGGGCGUAAAGGGAGUGUAGGCGGAAUUUAUAAGUUUAGGGAGUUUUAAUACACGGGCUCAACCCCGUGGGUCUGCUCUUAAUACUGUAGUUUCUUUGAGUAUGGGGAGAANGGGUGGAUGGAAUUCCCAGUNGUAGCGGUGGGAAUGCGUAGAUUAUCUGGAAAGAACACCAGUAGCGAAGGCGGUCGCCUGGCCCAAUACUGACGCUGAGGCUCGAAAGCUAGGGGAGCAAACAGGAUUAGAUACC